CUUGGUCAUUUAGAGGAAGUAAAAGUCGUAACAAGGUUUCCGUAGGUGAACCUGCGGAAGGAUCAUUCAUAAUAAGUGUUUUAUGGCACUUUUUAAAUCCAUAUCCACCUUGUGUGCAAUGUCAGUCGAUCUUCUUCAUGGAGAUCGACCAAACAUCAACCUUUAUUUUUUAACUCUUUGUCUGAAAAAUAUUACGAAUAAACAAUUCAAAAUACAACUUUCAACAACGGAUCUCUUGGCUCUCGCAUCGAUGAAGAACGCAGCGAAAUGCGAUACGUAAUGUGAAUUGCAGAAUUCAGUGAAUCAUCGAAUCUUUGAACGCAUAUUGCGCUCUUUGGUAUUCCGAAGAGCAUGCUUGUUUGAGUAUCAGUAAACACCUCAAAGCUUUUGGAUUUUUUAAUCGAAAAGCUUUGGACUUGAGCAAUCCCAACACCAAUCUUUUUGAGAUCGGUGGCGGGUUGCUUGAAAUGCAGGUGCAGCUGGACAUUCUCCUGAGCUAAAAGCAUAUUCAUUUAGUCCCGUCAAACGGAUUAUUACUUUUGCUGCAGCUAACAUAAAGGGAGUUUGACCGUAUUGGCUGACUGAUGCAGGAUUUCACAAGGGUCGGCAACGAUUCUUGUUAAACUCGAUCUCAAAUCAAGUAAGACUACCCGCUGAACUUAAGCAUAUCAAUAAGCGGAGGA
Molecule: ribosomal RNA, 683 nt
Filed under: uncultured fungus
Lineage: Eukaryota; Fungi
Description: eukaryotic LSU rRNA
Rfam family: 5.8S ribosomal RNA (bases 216-369)
Source: RNAcentral